AGCUUUAUAGUCAAUGUGAUGAUAUUAAAUUGCAAAUUUAAAGUUGUAAAUUACUAAAGCUU
Molecule: transfer RNA, 62 nt
Filed under: Malcus setosus
Lineage: Eukaryota; Metazoa; Arthropoda; Insecta; Hemiptera; Malcidae
Description: tRNA-Cys
Source: RNAcentral